This 858-nucleotide ribosomal RNA is filed under the name uncultured organism. RNAcentral describes it as "SSU rRNA". It matches the Rfam family "Bacterial small subunit ribosomal RNA", at positions 616 to 1486 of the family's 1533-position model. The record is from RNAcentral.
GGACUGUGCCGUUGAAACUGGCGAGCUAGAGUGCACAAGAGGCAGGCGGAAUGCGUGGUGUAGCGGUGAAAUGCAUAGAUAUCACGCAGAACCCCGAUUGCGAAGGCAGCCUGCUAGGGUGCGACAGACGCUGAGGCACGAAAGCGUGGGUAUCGAACAGGAUUAGAUACCCUGGUAGUCCACGCAGUAAACGAUGAAUACUAACUGUUUGCGAUACAAUGUAAGCGGUACAGCGAAAGCGUUAAGUAUUCCACCUGGGGAGUACGCCGGCAACGGUGAAACUCAAAGGAAUUGACGGGGGCCCGCACAAGCGGAGGAACAUGUGGUUUAAUUCGAUGAUACGCGAGGAACCUUACCCGGGCUCAAACGCAGGGGGAAUAUAUAUGAAAGUAUAUAGCUAGCAAUAGUCACCUGCGAGGUGCUGCAUGGUUGUCGUCAGCUCGUGCCGUGAGGUGUCGGCUUAAGUGCCAUAACGAGCGCAACCCCUAUCGACAGUUACUAACGGGUCAAGCCGAGGACUCUGUCGAGACUGCCGGCGCAAGCCGCGAGGAAGGUGGGGAUGACGUCAAAUCAGCACGGCCCUUACGUCCGGGGCGACACACGUGUUACAAUGGCAGGUACAGAAGGCAGCCAGUCAGCAAUGACGCGCGAAUCCCGAAAACCUGUCUCAGUUCGGAUUGGAGUCUGCAACCCGACUCCAUGAAGCUGGAUUCGCUAGUAAUCGCGCAUCAGCCAUGGCGCGGUGAAUACGUUCCCGGGCCUUGUACACACCGCCCGUCAAGCCAUGGAAGCCGGGAGUACCUGAAGCAUGCAACCGCAAGGAGCGUACGAAGGUAAUACCGGUAACUGGGGCUAAGU